UAAGGUAAUAAAGGGGUUUAGCGCCACAUUCGACUAGCAAGGCGUCGUCGCCCCAUUCUAAAUUGGCCAACUAAGAGGUUUUGGAAAACCCUAGCUGCCUUCUCCCUUCCCUGUUUCACCGGUCGCCUGCUUUCCCAAUAGGACAGACUCUACGGCCUCCACUAAUAGCUCCAAUGGUCCAUCUCUUUCCUUCUCCCUCCCGUUUUGCGUUCAAUGGCGUACGUCAAUGUCUGAAUUGCAUUUUGUUUGUCUUACAGCGGUUUUGAUCUGGUAGCAACAAGCGAGAACAAGAAGAUCGGGUGGUCCGCUCCUACUCCGACUAAAUCUAUCUCAAGCUCUUCGUCAAGAUGAAAAGCAAAAAGUCGAAGACAGCUACAACUUCCGUCUCUAUUGUUGAUUUGAAGUCCAUCAUUCAUCAGUAUGCAAUGUUCUUCGACAAGUUAGUGGAGCUCAUCCCUGCAAGAUUCUACUUACCUAAUGACGAAAACGACAAACCUUGGUUUCAGGGCCUUAGCAACACUGAGAAGGCUUUGGCUAAGAAGGAAUCAAAGGAAAAUCUUAAGAAAGCUCGAAGAGAUCGAAUGGACCCUGAAAAGUCAGCUAGAUCAACCCUUGAUUUGCUGAAGCAAAACUUGGAAAAGAAAAAGUUAGAAGAUGAAAGCGAUGAUAAUGAAAUGGAUGUUAAGCCAGUAACGUCUGGGUUGGAUGGUGAUGUUCAAUCAGUUACAUAUGAAGAGCUUCGACAACGUCUUCAUCGAAAGAUUGAAGAGUUCCGAGCAAAUAGAAAUACAGGAUGUUCGAAUAGGGAAAAGAAGAGGAAUGAAAGAAAUGAGAGGAGGGAACUUAUUCAGAAGAAACGCAAGAGAGGACAUGGUCCUGAGGAAAAGAAAUUAGCAGGCCACCACUCAAGAGAUGAAGUGGAGAAGAAUGUAGAUGAAGCCUCUAAAGAACUUGCAUUUAGUCAUGUCAAACUCGGGACUGAAGAAGAGCAUGGGAAGAAAAAGAAGAGAAAGCUCUCCAAGUUGGAGGAGCUUGAAAGAGCUAAAAAAUUAGACGAAGCAAAGAGAGAUCCUGAGAAAGGCGAGAUAAUCUCAAAGAAGCAUUCUUGGAAAGCAGCCACAAGUAGAGCUGCGGGGGCUAAGGUCCACGAUGAUCCAAAACUCCUGAUGAAGAGCUUAAAGAAGGAAAAGAAACAGCAGCUGAAGAAUGUCGAGAAAUGGAAGGAUAGGAUUGAAACAACCCAGAAGAUGAAAGCAGAAAGACAACAAAAGAGGUCAGAAAACAUUUCACAGAAAAUUCACGAUAAGAAGAUGCGGCGAAUUGCAAAGAGGGAGAAGAAACUUGUGCGUCCUGGCUUUGAAGGUCGCAAAGAAGGUUUCAUCAACGGAAGCACCCCAUAAAGUGAAAGCAGUGGUUGGCUUACUGGAUCAUCUAUUCCUUUCUCACUCUCAUGGAGAUGGUUGUUCUGCAACCUUUGUUAGAGUGCUUCAUUAUUUGCGUUGCAGGAUAGCAGUUUGGUAUUGGGUGAAAUUGGUAUUUGGGGCAUGGCCGGUUCUGCCACAGCUCAAAGGUGCAGCUUUCUUGUAUGAAAGAUUCGUGAGGCAGCAGAUUAAGAAACAUGGUUUGGGAAGCAAUUCUCCUGAUGCGUUGAUUCACUAACUGGUACACAUGUCUCUUGUUUUCGUAUGGUGUGCGAAAAUAAUUGGUAUUGGCUUUGUAUAUAGACAGUUUAAAGAAUUUCAAUUCAUCCAAAACUGUGUAUAAGUUGCACAUCUUUUCAUUUUAGUAUUACUGCGAAGUAAGAGAGUUUAUAUGAC
This is an RNA transcript of Cucurbita maxima (winter squash), 1817 nucleotides long. It is a transcript of the gene named ribosomal RNA-processing protein 14-C-like, with no coding region annotated. The record is from RefSeq and is a predicted model, not a curated record. The transcript is spliced from 4 exons. Lineage: Eukaryota; Viridiplantae; Streptophyta; Magnoliopsida; Cucurbitales; Cucurbitaceae.